ACAUGCAUACAACUUAGUGUUAAUGCAUUGGAUCCCAUUAGAACUUCGCAGUUAAGCACGCUCAAGAUAGAGUAGUAUUGGGAUGGGUGACCGCCCAGGAAGUUAUAGUAUUUUACAUGCC
Molecule: non-coding RNA, 121 nt
Organism: Picea glauca (white spruce)
Lineage: Eukaryota; Viridiplantae; Streptophyta; Pinopsida; Pinales; Pinaceae
Source: Rfam